UUCACAGUUACAUGCUGACCACAUCGCAUUGCAAAAUAAAUGUACACAUACAGGUUAUUCAAUCAUUGUGCCAACGAGCGUCUGCGAUGCCAAACCCUAAAAUAGAAAUCAGUUCUAUUUGUGACGCUGAACGCGGUGCAAGUCCUACUUCUACCAUCUUCUCAUUGGUUUAUAGAAGCAUAAAUCCACGUGCCACCUCCUCAUUGGUUAUACCCACGUGGGUGAUUGAAAGAUGACCUGAGGUCGGUUGGUUGGUCAGCUGUGGUAAUACACCUUAUUAUGAAAGUUAGAUGCCAAUCGCCAUAUAAAGUCCAAAGAAAAAGAAGCCUGGAAGGAGGAGAGAUGACUAGAAACGAUUCGGUUGAUCGUUUUAUCUGUGGAUUAAUUGUCGGAGUAGAGGACCUUGUGCAUUUCAGGUGAUGGCACUUUUAGUGGUGGAAGUGCAGUGUGUUUUAAUCCAUAUGAAGCUUUAACAGUAUAGUGACUUAGUUACUAAUUUGUCAUCUUUUCUCCCGGUGGAUCAUAAAGAUUUGGGAUUCUAAAGAAUAUCCCAUAUAAUAGAUGAUCACUUUGGGACAAAACAAACUGAGGGAACAGUCUUCACAGUUUUAAUGAUUUCUAAAUUAGUUGUACGCAGCAUAGAAAUUAUACAGUCAUCUCUGAAUGUCAUAGUUUUAAAUCUCACGUAACAUUUCUGGAUUUUUUUUUCUCUUGAUCAUCUCCUGGAUGAAAAGUGAGGAAAUUGACCGUUGCUUUUUAUUUUCACUUUAUUAACAAAAAUCCUGAAUUGCCAAAGUUACUUUAAUUGGAAAAUAAUUGGAAAGGCAACAGGCUUUUGAACCUUGAGGGAGAAGUCUACCACUGGGCAGCCCUGGGUGAUGCAGCCCAGAGAGAUGAUGUCCACAUGGGGGGAGAAAUACUGGGGCAGGGAGUCUGAGGUCACCCCUCCACUGGCCUCGAUUAGCACAAAAGGGAACUCCUCCUUCAGAAGCUGGGCUGCUGCAUGGAGUUCCUGAGAGAGGAAGGGACAGACGAGGAAUAGAGGCCGGAAGAGACGAGUGCGGGAAGAGACCGUGUAGGAAAGAAGAGAUUGAACGAAAUGCACAGCACUGACAUACAGGAGGAAGAAGAAUAUUACAUUGAUAGUCCAAUGUACAUGAAUGUCCAACGGAAAUAUUUCUUCUGCUUUAUCAUAAGCCCUCCAGUACGUCUCUACAUUACUUACAUUACUUCCCUGAUGGCUUUGGGAAGUCCUUCAUCAGUCUCACCUGUGGCUUAAAGUUGUCCAGCAUGACAAUGUCGGCUCCUGCCGUGGCCGCCUCACUGCCCUCCUCACGGCUGCCGCACUCCACCUCAAUCUUACUGCUGAAGCCACACACCGAGCGGGCGUCCCUCACUGCCUGGAAGACCCACAGCAUCACCAUCCCACUCAGAUCCUGUCUGUGCAUGGACAAGCCGCCCACCAACAUGGCAUACUUCUCCACCAGCCGGAACCCAGGGGUGGUUUUACGCGUGCCAGCCACAUGGCCAUGCCAGCCUGCCUCCCUGGCGAUGCUCUGUAGCUGGGAGCAGCGGGUGGCUAUCCCCGAGGCCCGGGCCAGGCAGUGGAGGGCCGGUCUCUCCCCGAGGAGGAUACACCUUGCUGGGCCUCUGACCACAGCAGUCUGGGCCACCGCAUCUGGACCUGGUGGAGUGCAGCUGAGCUCAGUGAAGAAAGGCCUGCCUGCCAGCAUGCUGCACGGCGUUUUACACAACAACCUGGCCUCGACCUCAUGUGACCCCACACACAGCCCUGCAGGGUCAAAGUUCGGUGUGUCCUCUGCCAGCCACUCCCGUGCCAGCCGGGUCAGCGUGUGGGGAGGGAGGGUGUGUGACAAGUCAUACUGUGGAGUUGUCAUCUUGAGAGGUGAGGUAAAACGUUACGCCGGAAAGUUCUGUUAAGAAUGGAGAAAGGGGUUAGUUCCAGUGCUUUAAAUCUGAUGAUAGUUAACAGUUUGUAGUUUAAAUUGUACCCUACGAAAUGUCCUGAGUUCUGGUAUGAAUGAAUCCCUGCUCUCAAUGUGCUUUUUAGACCUGUUGCUUUGUAACAGUGUCCGUCUUCAGGUUAAGAUUCACCACAAACAAAGAACGUUGGUGUGGUGGCCUCAAGGGGGCCGAUGUGUUUGAAAUGCCAGAGCCAAUUUCUGAUCCCUGUCUGCUCCUGCGGGUGUGGUAAUAUAACUGGAGUACAAGUAACGAGUGCAGAUUGCAAAGAGCUCUCUGUAAGCCACACCCUAGUGGGCGGAGCUAGGCAUGUUGUUUGUGAACUUGGACACAUUUUAGUAAGGAGAUAUCAUACGGAGAUAGAAUCUCAUUUUACAAUGGGCCUGCGGUGGUUCUGUGUAGUCAUGCUAAUAUACGAGUCAAGUACAUUGCAGUCAAUUUUAUCUAUGACCUAAUAAGUAGGAUCUUAGGGAUGCGCUCACUAACCCCUUUUCUAUUUCUCUGCAUCUCCCAGGACAACGGCUGAGUGCACCCUGGCCGACACAUGGACGUGCCUGGUCCCCCCUCUCUGCCUGUUGCUGCCUCAGUCUCCCCCUCAAGUCGCUGCCCCCCCCCACACACACACCCAGAAACGUGGAUUUCUUUACUUACCAUGACAUCUAUGAAAAGCCAUCUGACCAUAGGGUCUUGAAGUGUUUGUACCCUCUAUAGCCUAGCUCUGGGUACUGUCUGAGCCUGCUGGUCACAUAUGACCGUGAUUUAAUACUGGAUGGAAAACAGGCUGUUGCUCUUUCCUUAUUGAAAUGCAUGGUGUAUAAUGAGGUCAAUGUGUCAAGUGUAAGAAAUGCAAAUUACAAUGAAUUAACAACAGCGGUCUUGAUUUUAUGUUUCGUACAGUCCGAUUUGGCAAUUCUGCUCAUUGACAAGACAACCCUGGUUUAAAAUAAUAAAUAAUUUCACCUUUAUUUAACCAGGUAGACUAGUUGAGAACAAGUUCUCAUUUACAACUGCGACCUGGCCAAGAUAAAGCAAAGCAGUUCGACACAUACAGAGUUGCACAUGGAAUAAACAAACAUACAGUAGAAAAGAUAUAUAUAUAUAUACAGUGUGUGCAAAUGAGGUAAGAUAAGGGCGGUAAGGCAAUAAAUAUGCCAUGGUGGCGAAGUAAUUACAAUAUAGCAAUUAAACACUGGAAUGGUAGAUGUGCAGAAGAUGAAUGUGCAAGUAGAGAUACUGGGGUGCAAAGGAGCAAGAUAAAUAAAUACAAUAUGGAAUCAGUAUGGUUGUCUUCAUUGUUGUCAAUAAGACCUUAUUGUAAACCUUGUUCUGUCUCUACAUCAUACACAAUCAUCCAAGUUGGGAUCAAUAAAUGAUUACUAAUAGGGUUGAGGUCAAUUCCAUGGAAAAGCAAUGCAGAAUCAUUUCAACCUUGCCAAUCAUAACCCAAGAGCUAAAGCUGUAUUAGACCAUCUAUAAAUCUGAAUGGUUAUAUUUUUCCAGCCUCUCCCCCAGUUUUACAAAAACGUGACAGGGCCAGGCUGUUGCAAUAGCAGAAUAAACAUUCUUUAUUCUGUUGGUGUGUGUACCUUUGUGUGCUUGUGUGAUGGAUGGGUCAAUGUUUAUAAUAAAUUGAAUGACAAUUCAGCCCAGUGGAUCUUUAUAUUCUACAGAUUCUGAACACUCAUGGAACAAUUGUUACAUGUGUUUUUGUUGCCAUGUAGGCCUAGUAUUUGGCCUUUGUUGGGGUUAGCCAAGGGGAAUGUAAGUCCUUAGGUGCUGGUAGCUGAAGAUGUGUUAGCUCCCAGGUGAUGAGGCAGUGAGUGAGAGACUCUGGACAGUGGACACACAUGUACACUGUGUUCAACACAACGUGUCAAUAAAAUAAAUACUUGCAGUAUUUAUGAAUUUUGAUAGUUUAAGUCAACUGUAAUUCCACGGUCGAGCAUCUGUGCAGUCCCGUGUGGCUCACUUGCAAGGUUGUGUGUCUGAUUCUCAUGGGGGACCAGUAUGAAAAUGUAUGCACUCACUAC
This 4013-nucleotide long non-coding RNA is filed under the name Salmo salar (Atlantic salmon). RNAcentral's name for it is "lncRNA (ENSSSAG00000117008.1)". Lineage: Eukaryota; Metazoa; Chordata; Actinopteri; Salmoniformes; Salmonidae. The record is from RNAcentral.